UACGGAGGGGGCAAGCGUUGUUCGGAAUCACUGGGCGUAAAGGGCGUGUAGGCGGGAAGGAAAGUCAGAUGUGAAAUCCCUGGGCUCAACCCAGGAACUGCAUUUGAAACUCCCUUUCUUGAGUGUCGGAGAGGAAAGCGGAAUUCCUGGUGUAGAGGUGAAAUUCGUAGAUAUCAGGAGGAACACCGGUGGCGAAGGCGGCUUUCUGGACGACAACUGACGCUGAGACGCGAAAGCGUGGGGAGCAAACAGG
This 253-nucleotide ribosomal RNA is filed under the name uncultured bacterium. RNAcentral's name for it is "partial 16S ribosomal RNA". It matches the Rfam family "Bacterial small subunit ribosomal RNA", at positions 524 to 776 of the family's 1533-position model. The record is from RNAcentral.